UACAGAGGUGGCAAGCGUUGUUCGGAAUUACUGGGCGUAAAGGGCGCGUAGGCGGCCUUCUAAGUCAGACGUGAAAUCCCCCGGCUUAACCUGGGAACUGCGUCUGAUACUGGGGAGCUUGAGUAUGGGAGAGGGAUGUAGAAUUCCAGGUGUAGCGGUGAAAUGCGUAGAUAUCUGGAGGAAUACCGGUGGCGAAGGCGGCAUCCUGGACCAUAACUGACGCUGAGGCGCGAAAGCUAGGGGAGCAAACGGG
Molecule: ribosomal RNA, 253 nt
Filed under: uncultured bacterium
Lineage: Bacteria
Description: partial 16S ribosomal RNA
Rfam family: Bacterial small subunit ribosomal RNA
Source: RNAcentral